GGCCCGUGGUCUAGCGGCUAUGACGCCCGCCUGACACGCGGGAGAGCGUAAGCCCCGAGGUCGGGGGUUCAAAUCCCCCCGGGCCCA
Molecule: transfer RNA, 87 nt
Filed under: Thermoprotei archaeon
Lineage: Archaea; Thermoproteati; Thermoproteota; Thermoprotei
Description: tRNA-Val
Rfam family: tRNA
About the family: Transfer RNA (tRNA) molecules are approximately 80 nucleotides in length. Their secondary structure includes four short double-helical elements and three loops (D, anti-codon, and T loops).
Source: RNAcentral